GGGAAAGGGGUGCUGAGCAGACAAAAGCAAUUGUCAAUAUUGUGGAAAACCAGCAUAGAGCAGUGCUGUAGAAACCUGGACAGGAGAGAAUUACAAAAGUGAAGGUGUGUUGAAUAAAGCCAUCCGCUGCAGAAAGGAUACCAAGACAGAUCAGCAUGGAAUGUCAUCUGCGUCUCCUGCAGGCAUCUCCUCCCAAACACGGCUUCCUAAACCUGUCUUGCCAGUCAAGUCCCACAGCUGCUCUGCCAAGUUAUACAGGCUUCCUCUGAAAAGCUGUUCUGGACUUGCAUGUGCUUGGAGGAACGAAAGCAAGGAAAGUGAAACCCUCCACUUGUUUCCAGGGUCAUCUUGUCCACUCGAGUGGCACUCUCCACUCCUACUCCUGUCCAUGAAGCCAAGUACCUCUUCAUGGGUUGGCACUGAGAGGUAG
RNAcentral lists this long non-coding RNA (430 nucleotides) under Callithrix jacchus (white-tufted-ear marmoset). RNAcentral's name for it is "lncRNA (ENSCJAG00000057510.2)". The record is from RNAcentral. Lineage: Eukaryota; Metazoa; Chordata; Mammalia; Primates; Cebidae.